AUCAUAUUGACACAACAUCAAUGUAUGUCAUCACAAAAUUUCGUAGCAAAAUUUAAAAUAUAUUUUAAGAUAUAAAAAUGACAAAAUUCACAUCAGUGUGAUAAUGGGCCAAAUCUAAAGCCCAACUUAUGUUAUGUAUUAUUUGGUGUUGUAUUUGUCAUUUUUGUUUUAGGAGCUGUGUUUCGAAUUUUGACUUGAAAUUUUAUGACAAUCUACAUUAAUGUUGUCUGAAUGUGCUACUUUUUUUCUUCAGAAUUUUACAAACAUAUAAAAUGUGCAACUUGAGUUCGAUUCACCGGUAGCACCACAAGCACUGGUGCACCAGAUAUUCUCCCUGGGGCGUGGGGCUGGAGAAGAUAGAACUAGAGAGAGGUCGCGUCUGUGGGUUUCCUUCUUUUUUCAGAGCGACCCUCUCAUUCAAUUGGCCACCACGCACAGUGCGCAGGUGAUGAUGUGGACGUCGCGAGAGUGCGCCCUUCGCGCGACUCGUAAAGGGUUUAAUUUGCUACUGUAGUUAAGUCAAUCUAUAUUAUUUGUGUCUGCUAGUUUACGUUUACCAUCUCAGUUUUAUCUGGUUGACAAAAAUUCUCAUUGUAACUUCCUGCUGGAAUCAUUUUUGUUUGUUUACUGAUGUUUCUUUUACCUGAUGUAUGUCCCUUGUCUACCGUGUGUAAAAGGUGGAGCCUGGUUUCCCUCCCAUGUCAGCGAUAGUGAGCAGAUGUUGGAGCUUCUAGAAAAUUUGGAACUGCUGGAACUUGAUUAAAUCUCCUGUAAUACGGUUGAACCGAGUUAAAAGGUGCAGAUAAUUGGAAUGCUCCUGCCAUCCUCAGUGCCUUGUACUGGGCUUGUAGGUUCAUGCAUGAAAGUUGACCUGAACUAAGUGUCCCCUUUGAAACCCUAGGGCUCCCAGAGUGAUGCUGAAUAGCACAGAGGGUCAGAAGGUAGUGUGCAGCCCUCGGCCUCCACUACCAGACAUGAGACAUCACAGUUCAUGGUACUGCAGUGCUCUAUCAGGUUGUGUUUAUUAAUGCUAAUUACUCCUGGAAGUUUCUUACUGACUUGCUGUAGUGAUCCAUAAUCUGGGCAUCUCAGUGAAUCUCAAUGUUGGCACCUCUCAGAACUAGCAGAUCCCAAAUUUCAAAUUUGGAUCCAGUAACCAUAUGCCAUCAGCCCAUAACCUAUCUCAUGGCAGUAUGACUGUCCAUUAUCCAGUAGUUGCAGCGCACAUUUCACUGAUGCUGCUGGAAUCACUCAUGUGCCGCACAUCGGUUGGAUUCGGUUGGGAUGCACUCCGGGAGAAUCCUGUGCUCCUUGAACAGGCAAUAUUGCAUAUAAAUUCUAGUGAUGCCAUCUUGAUGAUCAAAAGGGAGUGGUACCUGAGAGAGGCUCUGCAAUCUGAAGCUGUGGCUGUGGCUUGCCUUGCUGCUGUUGAUGGGGCGGGCUAUCAGGUUGGGAGUGGACCAAAUCACAAAAGUAAUCUUUCAUUCUGACGCCUCCAGCCUGGUGCGAGCUCUUAGCAGCAACGAUCAUGACAGGUCGGUGAUUAGUGUCCUGGUGAAGGAGGCGAAGAGGCAGUGUAUGUUAGAUUUUGAUAACUUCCGCAGGCGUAGUAGUUCUCCAGCUCAUGAACUUGCUAGGCUACUUUCUUUUGGUUCUCUUGUAAGACUUGGUGAUUUCUGUUAAUGGAAAUCGGAGAGAUGAUUCUCUCUUUUAUCAAAAGAGAAAAAGAAAAAAAGAACUUGCUAGGCUGCUGGGUGUGUAGGGCGAAUCUGAUGGCUCAUUCUGGGAGGGCUUUGGUCCCAGCAGUGUAAUGAGCAUGGUCGCCAGCAAGUCCAUGUCAAGUUAGUAUCUGGCAAAGGGCGUACCGACGAUGUUCGCUGAUGAGGAUUACUCAAGCUAUAAGCUACAUCCUCUUCUGCUUGAGAUAUCUAGUACGUAGGAGAUCAUGGGAGGAUCCCCCGUCGAUGAAUUUUCUCCCCUACAACUAUGGCUAAGGUAAAUUGUUUUGCAGCAGUUAAUGGUACAAACAGCUAUGGAUGUUAUUUUCUUAAGGUAGAAAUGGGAAGUCUGCAUUCUGCACUAUGCUCAGCAGAUGGCAUUUGGACCGCUGCUGUGUAGAAUGAGGAGCUUCGCUGGGUGCUUUGAUUGUUUUUUUGCCUCGCCUUAAUUUCAUUCUGUAACAUGGACUGCCAUGUUACUGCUAGAAUGAAUUAGAUGUUCCAGACAUGAUGGUUGGAUCAGGAAGAAUUCAGUUAAGUCAAUUAUUAAGUUUGGUCAUUGAAAAAAAGAGAUGCUGCGAGAACUACAUAUUCUGAAGUUUUUGAUGUUACUGGAUAAUCUACAAGUAUUAAAAAAAUAAAAA
Long non-coding RNA from Aegilops tauschii subsp. strangulata, 2362 nucleotides. RefSeq lists it as uncharacterized. NCBI's taxonomy places the organism in Eukaryota, Viridiplantae, Streptophyta, Magnoliopsida, Poales, Poaceae. The record is from RefSeq and is a predicted model, not a curated record.